GACGAACGCUGGCGGCGUGCCUAACACAUGCAAGUCGAACGGAAAGGCCCUGCUUUUGUGGGGUGCUCGAGUGGCGAACGGGUGAGUAACACGUGAGUAACCUGUCCCUGACUUUGGGAUAACCUCAGGAAACUGGGGCUAAUACCGGAUAGGAGCUCUUGCCGCAUGGUGGGGGCUGGAAAGUUUCGGUGGUUGGGGAUGGACUCGCGGCGUAUCAGCUUGUUGGUGGGGUAGUGGCUUACCAAGGCCUUGAGGGGUAGCCGACCUGAGAGGGUGACCGGCCACGUUAGGACUGGGAUACGACACAGACUACAACGGGACGCAACGGUGGAGAGUAUUACACAGUGGACUGGGGCCAGGUGCGACGACGCCACGUGCGGGAAGUGAGCCUUCGGGUUGUAAACCGCUUUCGCCUGUGACGAGGCGAGAGUGACGGUAAUGGGUGAAGAAGCACCGGCUAACUACGUG
RNAcentral lists this ribosomal RNA (468 nucleotides) under uncultured bacterium. RNAcentral describes it as "partial 16S ribosomal RNA". It matches the Rfam family "Bacterial small subunit ribosomal RNA", at positions 28 to 507 of the family's 1533-position model. The record is from RNAcentral.